GGGUCGUUAGCCUGUCGCUUAUUUUAUAAAGCGAGGGCAGUAGGCUUUUAACCAAUCAAUCGAAUGGUUUAAAUCCUUCACGAUUCGCCA
This 90-nucleotide transfer RNA is filed under the name Shewanella sp. ANA-3. RNAcentral's name for it is "tRNA-Lys (TTT) (tRNA-Lys-TTT-3-1)". The record is from RNAcentral. RNAcentral also lists the same sequence under 1 other name. Lineage: Bacteria; Pseudomonadati; Pseudomonadota; Gammaproteobacteria; Alteromonadales; Shewanellaceae.